GUCUUGCUUAGCUUUUUCCAUCUGUAAUAAACCAGUAUUAAGUUUAGUGGCGUCCAAAACACAUGUUUUUCACUCAGAUAUAUAUGCUCAUCAUUGAUGAGUCAUCAAUGUCUCAAAUUGUUAGCAUUACAGGACCACAGAUAAAGAGUUCAUGCAUCACUCAUAUCAGAUGCAGGAGUAUAGUAAUGUUCUUAUGAAAGGAAAAAUUGAAGAGAGGGAAGAGAAGUCCAAACCUCCACUCUCUGAUAAGCAUCAGC
Long non-coding RNA from Arabidopsis thaliana (thale cress), 257 nucleotides. RefSeq annotates it as other RNA. The transcript has a single exon. Lineage: Eukaryota; Viridiplantae; Streptophyta; Magnoliopsida; Brassicales; Brassicaceae. The record is from RefSeq.